This 512-nucleotide ribosomal RNA is filed under the name uncultured bacterium. Its description in RNAcentral is "partial 16S ribosomal RNA". The record is from RNAcentral.
GGAGUUAGCCGGUGCUUCUUCUGCGAGUAACGUCACAGAUGUAAGGUAUUAACUUACACCCUUUCCUCCUCGCUGAAAGUGCUUUACAACCCGAAGGCCUUCUUCACACACGCGGCAUGGCUGCAUCAGGGUUUCCCCCAUUGUGCAAUAUUCCCCACUGCUGCCUCCCGUAGGAGUCUGGGCCGUGUCUCAGUCCCAGUGUGGCUGAUCAUCCUCUCAGACCAGCUAGGGAUCGUCGCCUAGGUGAGCCUUUACCUCACCUACUAGCUAAUCCCACCUGGGCUUAUCCAUCAGCGCAAGGCCCGAAGGUCCCCUGCUUUCCCCCGUAGGGCGUAUGCGGUAUUAGCAGUCGUUUCCAACUGUUAUCCCCCACAAAUGGGCAAAUUCCCAGGCAUUACUCACCCGUCCGCCGCUCGUCAUCUUCAAAAGCAAGCUUUUGAAAUGUUACCGCUCGACUUGCAUGUGUUAGGCCUGCCGCCAGCGUUCAAUCUGAGCCAGAAUCAAACUACUGA